This is a long non-coding RNA of Leptinotarsa decemlineata (Colorado potato beetle), 184 nucleotides long. The record is from RefSeq and is a predicted model, not a curated record. Lineage: Eukaryota; Metazoa; Arthropoda; Insecta; Coleoptera; Chrysomelidae.
UUGUUUUUAAAAAUCUAGGGGAUUUGCAACAUGAAUCGAGUAUAUAUAAAUGACAAGAGGUUGCGUUGUUUUCAGUCUGAAGUGUGAAUUGAAAACUGAUACUUUGGUGGAAGCAGCUCCAUUAUGAACAGGAUUAUCAUAUUUGCAUUGGUAUCUAUUGGAUUAUCCGUCACAUAUGCAUACA